This 4632-nucleotide long non-coding RNA is filed under the name Brassica napus (rape). RNAcentral describes it as "long non-coding RNA (BNAP_LNC018842)". Lineage: Eukaryota; Viridiplantae; Streptophyta; Magnoliopsida; Brassicales; Brassicaceae. The record is from RNAcentral.
AUGGCGGAUGAUUCGAUCCGGGUGAGUCCUAAUCUCAAAUAACCUAUGGCGCAAUUAAGUUAGGGAUUGAAGGAGGAAGGAGGAAGGAGGAAGGAGAUGGAUGAUUGAGAUUAUAGGCAAAGGCAAACUCAGAUCGAGAUUCGGGGGAGGAGCGUCCAAGUUUUCUCUCUAUCUAUCAGGUUAGGUUUUUGAUGGGUUUUCUUUCACAACAGGGAUAACAUUUGUUUUAUAUACACAGCGUUCAGCGUCAGGGGCUCUUUCGUACUUUUCCUUAUUCACUUUUGCGUAAACCUGCAGCCAACGCUUCUCUUUGUCUAUUAAAAUUCCAUUUUUCUCAUUUGGUUAAGAUUCUCAACAAAUUAGAGAUGAUCACAAAACCUUAUCAUCAACAAGUAAUAUUUUUUUUUUAAAUCUCUUAUAUAUAUUACUAAAAAAAAUAAGCAUUGUUAUCUGAUGCUUUCACUCUGCAUAUAUAUAUAUAUAUAUAUAUAUAAUCAAUUAUACAUACACAAAUGUAUUAUUAUUAUUUAUUUGAUGAGAAUUUUGUUUACAAAAUAUUUACGGAUUAAAAAUAUUUUUCAUUUUCUUUUCAAAACAAAAGUUCCCAGUUAUUUAAUUUUAAAGUGGGGAAUCAAUAUUUUAAUUUUAAUUUCUUCAUUUUUCCUAAUGUUAGUUUGACGUUAUACAUAUUCAAUUUUAUACAAUUUUAUAAAUAUAUAGUUACAAACAUAAGAUGAAUCUAUACUAUUAAAAGAGAAUCAUUCCCAAAAAUCUACUUAUAAAAAGUUGUUGCACCCUUUUAUUAACUAAUUAUUUUGGUCAUACCUUAUAUUUUUCUAACUAUAUAACAUUCAAUGCAUUUAAUUAAUCCUAACAGCUUUUAAUUAGUACUCGACUAACUUAGCUUUUAAUUAUUACUCGACUAAUUUUUGUGGACCAAGUUUACAAAUCAUCUUUUGGAUGUAUACUAAGUGGACCAAAGAAUUAUACAUAUGUACAAAUCCAAUAUACUAAAAUAUCAUCAUCUCUAAACUUGUCUCAUGAUGUAUCCCAAUAUACCAAAACUAUAUUGUUUAUUUAAUCAGCUCUUAAAAUCUGAAAUCUCUGAAAGUAUAUAAUAAUAACAUGCAAACUUUAAUUUUUGGGUAUUCGAGUAUAUGUUUUGGUAUUUUCGAAUAUUUAGGAUUCGGAAAUAUCUAAAAAUAUUCAAUUAGCAAAACAAUUAUCCAAAUUCUGAUAUGAGGACUCGAAACAACCAAAACAUUUCCCCGAAUAUCCAAAUUAUAUUUAUGAAAAUAUGAAAUUUUACCCUAAACUCGAAACCAUAACCACAAACUCUAACCCAAAACAUAAAAAGUAUUCGUAAUACCAAAAGUAUACUAUAAUACUCAAAUAUAACUAAUAUAUACGAGAAAUUUUGGGUAUUUCAAAUAUCUGAUGGGGUCUUGGGUAGGACAUAGACCCGAAACAAGACCUGUAGGUCAAAUAUUUUUACCUAAUAGAUAUUUUAGCCUAGACUUGAAUGGAGCCUGUAAUUUUUGGUUUUUUCUGAUUCAGAUUUUGUGAGAGUAAAAUGAUCAAGCACAUGAAAAACUAACAUGUAUUUAUAUCUUUUUAAUUAUAUUUUAUAGAAUAAACCCGUGCUUUCAAGCCCGGUCAACCAACAUAAAUGAAAAGAACGAAAUUUUACAUUUUCACCUUACUAGUUACUAGAAAACAAAAAGAAUAGUUAGUUCAAUUUAGAGGAACUGUUGCAACUAAAUAUCUUUUAAAAAAUAAUUAAUCAUUUUUUUCUCAAUUCUUAUACCUAAAACUAUGCUAGAAAUAAUUAAUCUUUGGUUGAUGCAAUUCUAAUUAAAUUAACACUUGGUUUUUAUUUUUCUACUUUUUCCUAUAAAUAUAUAAUUAAUUAUACACAUGUUAUAAAAUAUAUCUAUAAAAUACUAGGAUGAAUCAAAUUAAAUAUAUAUAUAUAUAUAUAUAUCUGAUUUUAGUUUAUUUAAAAACAACAUAAAUUGUGAUCUAAUUGGAAAAUAAAUACAAACUAAUAUAUCAAAAAGAAAAACUGAACCAAUCUUAAUUAUUAUACAUGAAAUCACAUAAUUAAUUGAGAUAAUUUAAAUACAUUAUUCUAUUUACUUUUCAUAUGUUUAGAAUAUAAAAUGGUUUAAAAUUUAUCAACAAAUACAAAUAACAGAUUAAUUAAUUAUAGUUGAUUAUUUUAUAAAUAUUUAUACAUGUGUAUGAACAUGGAAUAAUCACCUCGUAUAAAAUUGAUUGUAAAGCAAUUAUGAAGACAAUUCUCCUCAUCCCUUUGGCUCCGAUACUCGAGGAACGAUAUUACUCCGGAGUAUAAUUGUUCUUGUUUGUUGGAAAAUCGGAGAGUUUAUUCACCUUAUUUUGGUUAACGGAGCAUUAUGACCACAAAACCACUGUUUAUGUUGGGUUUACGCAAAACCAUUGGAUUGGGCAUCAAUACAAAAAUGUGGAGUGGAUCAUGGGUUUCAGAUUCGAAAGCCUCCGACCUUGUCGCUUAGCGACACCCCUCGGCUCCUUGUUCUUUCUUUUAUUAGACUAGUUAUUAAGACGUAAGUUAUUUUUCUUUUACAUGAAUUCUGUCAUCUAGAGGAUAUAGUUUCGAUCCUUAGCGUGAAUUUUGAAACCUAGUUGUUAUUGGUACGUAGACAAGCAAGCGUGGAACCAUAGAAUGAGUUUCAUAUCACAGAGCAGAAUCACAGCCAAACAAUAAAAUCAACGGAUGCAUAACAAUUACGGAGUCGAAUGAUCGGAAUUUACAAGGAAUGGUGAAGACGAAAGGUAGAGAGACCAACAAAAAAAAUUCAGAACCAAAGUUUAUUUAUACCAGCCCUAUACCCACACAAAUUCUUGAUAUUCCCUCAGGAUUAGACAAGCAUAUCACCAAAGUAUAAAUAAAAAAGACAAGGAAAGGAAACAUUUUGUUUUUCUGACUUGACUUGGGGACUCUACACAGCAAAUACAAUGCAACAGCGUUUCUCUUCUGUUGAUCAUCUCUCCUCUACUUGUUGCGUUUAUAUUGAUAGUCCUUCUCCUCCCCCAACUGCCCUACUUGUUUCUCAUUAGAAGACAUCCGGAUUGAAUCUUUGCGGCAUCAUAUAGUUGCCGUGUUCCAUUUGCUCCAGUUGCAAUUUCAAUGCGUAGUUAUUCACCUGCAUUUUGUAAUUAUCAUUCCACUCUUUAACCACAGGAGACCAUCAAAACUAGGGAACUUUCACCAAUAUUGCUCAUUAAAAAAAAAAAAAAAAAUUAAAUUCAGGAUGUGAAUAUUCAACAUAUAUAUGGCUAUGCAACCAUCAGUAUAUAAAAGUAGUAUGUCUAUGGUUUGUUUAAGGCUUACCUCCAAAUUUCUAACCUUCUCCUGGUACUGAGGAAUCAGCUGCUUAAAAAACUCUAGCUGCUGGUUCGCAUCUUCUAACGCCUUCUGCCGCUCAUGCUGGAUAGCAACAGCACGUUUCAGCACUGUGUUGUCCUUCAUCAAGGCUUCCACUUGUUGCUGCAUUGCCACACUCUCCUGCAAAAUCAGAAGAGGGUGUUAAUUUAACCCAAAAAAAAAUGACAAGGACAAUCUUCCUUGGUACUACAAUACAAAAUUGUGUUCUGAGCCAGUAACUUGUAGUCAAUGAUGGUUCAAAACUACUACGUCUUAACAACAACACUGACUGAACUAGAAACUGUCCUUCAUGCGUCGAACUAACUACCCGAGGCCCUCCCUAAUACAAACUAUACGAUAGCUUAAAAGGAGGACAGUACAAUGGCAUUAUACCUCUUGGAAUUUUUUACCGGCUUCUUCGUGAGCACGUGCGCUUAACGUCUUCUCUAACGCCUCCAAGACUCUUUCAGCACGGAACUUCGCAUCAUCUGGACCGGCAGAUUGCGUCACUUCCCUCACUAACAACGCAACCCAGUCAUCACCACUCGCUGCAGCAUCAGUCUCCUUAUUAGCGGCCAAUUCUUGAGCUCUCUUCUCCUCCUCAGCGGAUACCAAAGCGUACAAGCUUUUCAUAGCAGCAUUCAAAUCACUCCCAUGUUCUUCCAACGCCUCCACAAGAACCUGAUUUUUUAAAAAAAAAAACUUCCGAAUCUAAUUAAAUUUCAAGAAUUGCCAACCGAUUAAGCCACGAAUAAUGCUGCUAAACUCAAUCUAACAUACUUAAUUAGCGUCUAAUCAAUCGGAUUGAGCAAAAGGUAAAGCUAGAUCGAAAGGAACAAAGACAUACGGUGAGUUCAAGAUGAGGAAAGGCAGCGCGAAGCUGAUCGAGCGAUGAGGGAGGAGAGGAAGACCAGCUCGGAGAAUUGGAAGGGGAAUAGCAUCGGAACCGCUUCGAAGAGGGAGGAGGAGAAGGAGUAUCGUCGAAGUACGAUCUCUUACUUCCGCAAUAUACGGCAGACAUGGCGGAUGAUUCGAUCCGGGUGAGUCCUAAUCUCAAAUAACCUAUGGCGCAAUUAAGUUAGGGAUUGAAGGAGGAAGGAGGAAGGAGGAAGGAGAUGGAUGAUUGAGAUUAUAGGCAAAGGCAAACUCAGAUCGAGAUUCGGGGGAGGAGCGUCCAAGUUUUCUCUCUAUCUAUCAGGUUAGGUUUUUGAUGGGUUUUCUUU